UGGCAAUGAUGACAAAAAAAGGCCGGACUUACGGCUGCUGCCUCCGCCAUAGUCGGUCGGUAGUAGAAUGAUGAAUGUUUUUGCAGCAAAGGUUUUUAUCUGAGCCAC
Humulus lupulus (European hop) is the source of this 108-nucleotide small nucleolar RNA. RefSeq annotates it as small nucleolar RNA snoR113. The transcript has a single exon. The record is from RefSeq and is a predicted model, not a curated record. Lineage: Eukaryota; Viridiplantae; Streptophyta; Magnoliopsida; Rosales; Cannabaceae.